RNAcentral lists this ribosomal RNA (553 nucleotides) under uncultured Sordariomycetidae. RNAcentral's name for it is "eukaryotic LSU rRNA". The stretch from base 174 to 327 matches the Rfam family "5.8S ribosomal RNA". The record is from RNAcentral. Lineage: Eukaryota; Fungi; Ascomycota; Sordariomycetes.
AACAAGGUCUCCGUUGGUGAACCAGCGGAGGGAUCAUUACCGAGUUUACAACUCCCAAACCCCUGUGAACAUACCAUUUGUUGCCUCGGCGGUGCCUGCUUCGGCAGCCCGCCAGAGGACCCAAACCCUUGAUUUUAUACAGUAUCUUCUGAGUAAAUGAUUAAAUAAAUCAAAACUUUCAACAACGGAUCUCUUGGUUCUGGCAUCGAUGAAGAACGCAGCGAAAUGCGAUAAGUAAUGUGAAUUGCAGAAUUCAGUGAAUCAUCGAAUCUUUGAACGCACAUUGCGCCCGCCAGUAUUCUGGCGGGCAUGCCUGUUCGAGCGUCAUUUCAACCCUCAAGCCCCCGGGCUUGGUGUUGGAGAUCGGCGUGCCCCCCGGGGCGCGCCGCCUCCCAAAUAUAGUGGCGGUCUCGCUGUAGCUUCCUCUGCGUAGUAGCACACCUCGCACUGGAAAACAGCGUGGCCACGCCGUUAAACCCCCCACUUCUGAAAGGUUGACCUCGGAUCAGGUAGGAAUACCCGCUGAACUUAAGCAUAUCAAUAAGCGGAGGAA